GGAAGUAAAAGUCGUAAUAAGAUCUCCGUAGGUGAACCUGCGGAGGGAUCAUUACAGAGUUCAUGCCCUACCGGGUAGAUCUCCCACCCUAUGUUAUUAUUACUUUGUUGCUUUGGCGGGCCGUUAGGCUCCGGCCCGACUACCGGCCCCGGCUGGUAAGCGCCCGCCAGAGGACCCAAAACCCUGAAUAUUAGUGUCGUCUGAGUACUAUAUAAUAGUUAAAACUUUCAACAACGGAUCUCUUGGUUCUG
Molecule: unclassified non-coding RNA, 251 nt
Filed under: plant metagenome
Description: partial contains small subunit ribosomal RNA, internal transcribed spacer 1, and 5.8S ribosomal RNA
Rfam family: Eukaryotic small subunit ribosomal RNA (bases 1-54)
Source: RNAcentral